RNAcentral lists this ribosomal RNA (443 nucleotides) under uncultured bacterium. RNAcentral describes it as "partial 16S ribosomal RNA". It matches the Rfam family "Bacterial small subunit ribosomal RNA", at positions 338 to 795 of the family's 1533-position model. The record is from RNAcentral.
CCUACGUGUGGCUGCAGUGGGGAAUAUUGGGCAAUGGGCGCAAGCCUGACCCAGCAACGCCGCGUGAAGGAAGACGGCUUUCGGGUUGUAAACUUCUUUUCUCAGGGACGAAGCAAGUGACGGUACCUGAGGAAUAAGCCACGGCUAACUACGUGCCAGCAGCCGCGGUCAUACGUAGGUUGCAAGCGUUAUCCGGAUUUACUGGGUGUAAAGGGCGUGUAGGCGGGACUGCAAGUCAGAUGUGAAAACCACGGGCUCAACCUGUGGCCUGCAUUUGAAACUGUAGGUCUUGAGUACUGGAGAGGCAGACGGAAUGCGUAGUGUAGCGGUGAAAUGCGUAGAUAUUAGGAGGAACACCAGUGGCGAAGGCGGUCUGGUGGACAGCAACUGACGCUGAGGCGCGAAAGCGUGGGGAGCAAACAGGAUUAGAUACCCCAGUAGUC